RNAcentral lists this long non-coding RNA (1270 nucleotides) under Rhinopithecus bieti (black snub-nosed monkey). RNAcentral's name for it is "lncRNA (ENSRBIG00000045750.1)". Lineage: Eukaryota; Metazoa; Chordata; Mammalia; Primates; Cercopithecidae. The record is from RNAcentral.
CCAACUUUUCCAAAGGGACAGCUAGCUUUUACAACUAAAUGGACGAUGAAAGAAAACAAAAAUGGAAAAUCUCGAAGGCUCCUCAAUACAAUUGGAAUAGAAAGAAUGCAGCAGCCCACCUCACCCACCAAACUCUGAAUUCUUUCUUUCUGCUAAGGAAUGGAGCUAAAAGAGAGGCCACAAACUGCACAAAAGCUGUACCCAGGCUCAUAUUUCUGCUCCUAUCCUGUGGAGUCGGGAAGAAUGGCAGAUCUGAAGGAUGGCCAGACAAGUUUCAUCAGGCUCUUCACAUGUGGACAGCAGCUCUGAUGGUGGAAUGAGAAAGAUCCAUUUGGAAUUAAACAAUAAACCACUUGCAACAUGCACACAAGACCCAAAUCUGCUGUCAUCAUCCUCAUCCAGAAGAAAUGGUUGAGAAGUGGCACAAGAAAGAACAUGUGUGUAACGUUAGGAAAAAUCAGCUUGUCAUGAAUGCCAACAAAGCACCUAAUGACUUGAAGUGAGUUUGAACAGGCAGUGGGAAAACAUUAAAAAAAAAAAAAAAUACUGCAAGUCUAAGAAACUACAAGCUCCUGUUUAGCAUCUUUGCUGGAUCCAAAUAAGAGCAGAUAUUGCAGCAAAAUAUCAAUGAUGAGGUAGAAUUUCUACCUUGUGGGUAUUUAAAAAUAAGACGGAAGAUGUUUUAAUUUGGUUCAGAUGUCAACCUGCCUGGUGUCGUUAGAGCUGGCAGUACCUGUGAAAAAAGGGACCAACACCCUCACUUAACAGAUGAGGAAGUGGAAGGUAAGGGCCUCUACCAAAAUGAUAGGGCGCUUAGGGACAGCGUGGGGACUGGAAGCUACAUGUCAAGACUCCCAAGCCUCUGUCUCAGGCCUUCUUUACUGUUCUUCGAGUUUCCUUCUGGGGCCAUGAUUCUAUAAAACAAGUCACAUUGGCCGGGAGCGGUGGCUCACGCCUGUAAUCCCAGAACUUUGGAAGGCCGAGGCGGGUGGAUUACCUGAGGUCAGGAGUUCGAGAGCAGCCUGGCCAACAUGGUGAAAUCCCCAUCUCUAAUUAAAAUACAAAAAAUUAGCCGGGCGUCGUGGCAGACGCCUGUAAUCCCAGCUACCCGGGAGGCUGAGGCAGGAGAAUUCCUGGAACCCAGGAGGCGGAGGUUGCAGUGAGUCGGGGUCGCACCACUGCACUCCAGCCUGGGCAACCAGAGCGAAACUCUGUUUCCAAAAAGAAAAAAAAAGUCAAGGCAGGUCAUUUUGCACAUUGGUUUUAACCC